GAUGAAGAACGUAGCGAAAUGCGAUAAGUAAUGCGAAUUGCAGAAUUUCCGUGAAUCAUCGAAUCUUUGAACGCACAUUGCGCCUCCUGGUAUUCCGGGAGGCAUGCCUGUUCGAGCGUCAUUAAAAUCACUCAAGCUUAGGUUUACCUAUUGCUUGGUCUUGGAGAUGGAAGCCAAUUUAUUGGAAUCCUCUUCGAAAUUCAAUGGCGAAGACCCUUGCUCUCCCAAGUGUAGUAAUAACUUAUGUCACUGAAGGAAGCGAGAAAUCUUCUGCCGUAACCCCCAUAUUUUCUAUGAUUGACCUCGGAUCAGGUAGGGAUACCCGCUGAACUUAAGCAUAUCAAUAAGCGGAGGA
Molecule: unclassified non-coding RNA, 355 nt
Filed under: soil metagenome
Description: partial contains 5.8S ribosomal RNA, internal transcribed spacer 2, and large subunit ribosomal RNA
Rfam family: 5.8S ribosomal RNA (bases 1-121)
Source: RNAcentral